Molecule: long non-coding RNA, 359 nt
Filed under: Marmota monax (woodchuck)
Lineage: Eukaryota; Metazoa; Chordata; Mammalia; Rodentia; Sciuridae
Source: RNAcentral
UGCUUUCCUUAUCAACCAACUGAAUUGCCUGCAAGUCAAAGGGUCCAUGCUUACUCUGGCCCUGGUUAGUUGGAAAUGGAGAAACUCAUUCCUCACUGGCGUCCUAUUACAAUUGAACUGCUUCAGAAAGCACAAAUAAAUAGCUUCCAAUUGAUCCACUCUCAGGAGCUUGUGGCAGGUUACCUUUCUACUCUGAAGUCUUCCCUGACUCUAAAUUCCUUGUAUAUCUACCAUCCCCUCAAGCAUACCCUGGUGACUUGAGACAAAGGAACAACCAAAUCAUAUCCUUCCUGUGUCUGUCUCAGGACCAGAUUUCUCCAAGCACAACAUCAAGCUACAGUGCCAGACAGAAUUAAAGC